This 443-nucleotide ribosomal RNA is filed under the name uncultured bacterium. RNAcentral's name for it is "partial 16S ribosomal RNA". It matches the Rfam family "Bacterial small subunit ribosomal RNA", at positions 338 to 795 of the family's 1533-position model. The record is from RNAcentral.
CCUACGGGAGGCAGCAGUGGGGAAUAUUGGGCAAUGGGCGCAAGCCUUACCCAGCAAUACCGCGUGAGUGAAGAAGGUCUUCGGAUUGUAAAGCUCUUUGAUCAGGGACGAACAGAUGACGGUACCUGAAGAACAAGCACCGGCUAACUACGUGCCAGCAGCCGCGGUAAAACGUAGGGGGCGAGCGUUGUCCGGAAUGACUGGGCGUAAAGGGUGCGUAGGCGGCAUAAUAAGUUAGAAGUGAAAUACCCAGGGCUUAACUCGGGUGCUGCUUCUAAGACUGUUGGGCUUGAGUGCGGGUGAGGUUAAUGGAAUUCCUGGUGUAGCGGUGGAAUGCGUAGAUAUUAGGCGGAACACCAGAGGCGAAGGCGAUUAACUGAACCGUAACUGACGCUGAGGCACGAAAGUGUGGGUAGCAAACAGGAUUAGAUACCCUUGUAGUC